UUGCUAAGCAUACAUUUUAUUAUAGGGUCGGAAGCAAUAUUUCUCAAUUACCAUUCAUUCAUUCUUAUGAAGGAUAAGUGAAUUUCAUUUCAAUGGAAAAAGAAGGCAGUCAGUUUUCCAGGUUUACAUUAGACCUAAAUCAAAAAUCCAGUACAAUUCUUGGUGCAAAGAGUAAAAAAAUUGUGUGGGACAGCCUGUGUUUUUGAGCUCUACUCUUCUGUUUCACAGAAACAGCAGAGGCUGCAGGUCACGAUUCCAUAGGUCAGUGUCUGGCCUCUUAGUUGUCACACAGCUUCUUCCAAACUUGGAACUGUACUUGGGCGCUUCAAAAACUAAUAUUGGGGUUUGCCCAUCCCAGCUAGUCUGUUUGGGUUCCUGGCCCUGUUCAAAGGCUGUGAUGUCACAACCACAGCUCACCACUGCCAGGUGCAUCUUCAGGCGCUCUGCCAGCCAGUGGAGCCACAUGAAGGGACAGCCCAAAGAGAGGGAGAGGAAACCACUGACUUCUGCAAAUAAGUCAGUAAGUGAGCAAAAAGAAAGAAGAAUGGUGAAGUCCUUGCAGCCCGUUGCAGGCAUGAAGAGUACCACCUCUACACCCCAAAAUUGUUGAAAAACAUCCAGUACCAAACAACUAAGUGAGGAGCUUCAUAAGAAGAAUGUUUUUUUUCUGCAGAAAAUGACCCGAUGCUUUCUUAGUACAACUGUGACCAGUUUGCAGGUCUCCUCUCCUGUUGUAUGCGUGCCUGGUUGCAGGAAGGUGUGGUGCACAGACUAAAGGACAGCACCAUCUUUCAUUCUCCCAAGCAGUGAAACAGAAAUAUUUUCCAGAGUCUGAUCAUGGGGAAGAGAAGCUUUCUGCUGAUGGUGAUCCAAGGGAUAUUUGCAGCCCCAUUUAAAGCACUGUGUGGGCAUUCGGAUAGUUUGCAGAUCUUGCAAAAGGGAGACCAGGAAUGUGGUUCCAGGAAUAAUCUUCUUUUAUUCCAUCAGAUACAUUCUGCAGCCCAUUCCAUAAAGAUGACAAUAAUAAAAAAGCAAGGGACACAAUAUAAGAAACAACUUUCUUUCUGUUAGGGCGGAUGGCUUUAUAGAAUAGAUACUGAAGCAGCAAAGAACUGAAAGUGGUUUCUGAGAAGUGUUGACCUCCUUUCGUGCCACUUACUGUGAAUUAAAGCUGUGACUGAGAACUAGUUUGGGCAUGUGGUACAGCACUUACAGCAACUGCUGCCAAGGAACAAGAUUUGUGUUUCUAAGGAAAUGCAACAAAAGAAAAUGGUUUAAGAGGCAGUGGCUGUCACUGUGUAAAAAAAAAGUAUCUAUUUAUGUACGGAUAGAAAGAAAGGCCGAAUUGGGUUAUUCUAUAUGCAGGUUAGUGUACGUGUGAACUCUUGUAAUGUGAGAUUCAAAAUCAAACUACUGUGGAUUGUGCAGGGUUUAGCAUAUCUCACACUGUUAGAGUUUACAAAGUUGAGCUAUCUAAAAGCAGUUGUGACGUA
Molecule: long non-coding RNA, 1493 nt
Organism: Pseudopipra pipra
Lineage: Eukaryota; Metazoa; Chordata; Aves; Passeriformes; Pipridae
Exons: 6
Source: RefSeq, a predicted model, not a curated record